UUUGGAGUGAAUUUUCCUUACGUAACGGGAGCAAACUGAUUAUUCCCUGAUCUUUGAGGAAGGUGAUACUUAAGAGUUAAAAUUCUGUGUAUGCAUUUUGAACUGAAGUUUCUUCCUCUAGGAGAUACCACUCUGAAUGAAAGCAUCACACUUGUCAGCACUUUCCUCCAUGCCAGAGGGCUGAGAGGGAGCGUGACCUGGAUAGGAUCGCUUCCUAAAGCGUGUAUUUAAAGUAAUCUAACAGGGCACUCGGUCCCGUGCAGACUGGUUCCACACAGGCUGCCACGUACACUCAAACCUUGCAGACAAAAAGAAGCCGUUUAGUAUAUUUUUGCUGACUACAGUUUGAGAACCUCUUGUAGGAAACCAACAGAACAGAAGACAAUGGAAAAGUGUUGGCUGUGACGGGGCUUACAAAUACAAACUGAAAGUACAAUGGACAUAGUGGCUGAUUGCAUGCUGGAAACUACAGCUCGUCUGUGAACUAAUCCUCGGGAUCUCAGCAGUUCUAAGCAGACAGAGAGGGAAGGUCCCAUGCUUAUGACUCAUGCUACCAUUUUUCUCUCCUAUUGUUUUGCAAAUUCUCUGCUUAAUCUAAAAUCCAUUUCAACUAGAAACUUCCAGGCUCAGCGGAAACUUAAAGAUAAUAUAUUCCAAACAAGUGAUGCUUCAAAAGGGUGUGGAUCUACAACCCUUUAAAUCAGCCUGAACCUGGGCUGGCAUAGCCCUGCCCUUGUCACUGGCUUCUGAGCCUCUGCCCCUUCCUGUGCUCACAUGAUCCCACAAAGAGCAGAUCUAGAAACUGACCAAGCUGGAAACCAAGCCAGUGCCACCACGAGGAACCAGAGGGAGUGGGAGUGAUACAGGACAUGUCUCAAGAUAAAGUUGUGGCAAUCCAGAUUUAGACAGGCCUAAGUGGAGGUGUACCACUAAGAGUUACUAAUCAUCCUGAAUGAACCAUGUCUUAAAGGAAAUGGGCAUUCUGAGCUUUGGGUUUCAUUUUAAGGUAUUGAUUUAUGUCCCUAAACCAUUUUAAAUCUGUACAUUAGCAGAAAAGUUAUCCUACAUAUACUGGCAAUAUAUUCUCUUAAUGGAAUACAUAGUAAUGAAAUUUUGUCUCACUCGAUCUUUAAGAGCAGAUUCAAACUUCAAGGAUUAUGAGUUCAGGCAGGAUAAUGCCCGUUUUCUCUGCCUGAUGGCUGGCAGUAACACUUUGAAGCUGGUUUUGAUAAUAGGUAGGAUACCACAGUAGCCACUCUCAACUUUAGAAAUCUUUUCUACUUCAUUGCUUUAGCUUUGUUUAACAGCCCAUUUUUGAGUGGUAAAACAGUAGCAGAAAUGGCAAUAUAUUUAUGAAGACACGCUAAAUAAAACUGUAUUGCUUUUAUAAGAAUACACUCCAGAUUAUAUCAAAGUUAUAGCAAAAAUCUCAUGGGUCUGUAAGAACAGUGAGAGCACUGCAAGACAGGAUUCCAUCAGCUUCCCAGUGACAACUUUUCAUGCUGGGUACCCCACGGCAUGAGGCCAAACACACCUUCAGAAAUAAAUGCACGAAGUGUCAAAUCUUUCAACAUCACCUUUCUAUGCAAAGCAUUUCUAUCAGCCUACCACCCUUUUCCAGACAGGGAAAUUCCCACCAAGUCAUCAAUAAUACAUACAGGCAGCCAUCAGUCCACCUACUAAUGAGCAGUUUUAGCACACAGCACCUAUUCAGAGAAAGCAGGCCUGGAAGAUGAGAACAUAGCCCUUAAUAAUUUACAAGGCUUACAAAUUUACAGACCUUAUCCCAAAAGCCAAACAAAAAGAAUGCGAUAUCUACUCAGAUUUCCAGAACAAACCAAGACACAGCAUUUCAGAAGCCAUUAGGAUCUAUCAGUCAGUAAUACUCUCCAAAUGUUCUUCUGUGGAAUAACCUGUCAGCCAAAGACCCAUCCGUCUCUAAAAGCCUGUAUUAUUAGAGAUACAACAUCAGGAACCUUAGGAAAUGUGCACUGCUGAAAAUUAGCUUGAAAAGGUUUGAAAAUUAUUCAAUAUGGCAAAUGCUAAAAAUCUUUAGAAUUUGCUGUUUGAAGUAGACAAAACUGGUCUAGUCUGGUUCUGCAUAGAAUAAAUACCAGCCCUCUACAAAUGUCAAGCGUGCCCAGGGACAGAGUUCACAUCCAACAUCAAACACUCACUUUGGCAGCACAACACAGAGAACCAGGAGCAGGGGAAAAGACAGCCCAUGGUCUUGUCCUGGGACUAAACACUCAGUUCUGUACCUGGCCAAGCAGGUAAUCCAUAUUCCCACCAGCCAUUAGUUACACAGGCAACACAGGGAUUGGUAGGAGUAUCUGGGAAGGAAUUAUGAUGAUGCAGUUUGGUCUACUUAUGACAGCCAGAUCUGCAGUUUAUAUCUGAAAACCAACAAAACAACCCUAACACCAAUUCCUUGAUUUUCUUGGUGUCUCCUACUACAAAUAAACACCUUAUUGCUGUAAAA
Long non-coding RNA from Corvus hawaiiensis (hawaiian crow), 2482 nucleotides. RefSeq lists it as uncharacterized. Lineage: Eukaryota; Metazoa; Chordata; Aves; Passeriformes; Corvidae. The record is from RefSeq and is a predicted model, not a curated record. The transcript has 2 exons.